GGUCAGGCUGCUGCCACAUCUCAGCUUCUUCCUUCCCUUCCCAUCCCUUCUCCUCCCUUCCCAUGCAGUCUUUCCUGUACAAGGCUCUGGGGACAGUGCUGGGAGCUUGUAAGGAAGUCCUCCACAUCCAAGAGAAGCUUCUGCAACACCUGGAGGAAGCAAACGCGGAGGAGCCCUCUGAGGCCCAGGGCAUGAUCUCUCUUCUCAGCCAUGCUGCUGAGAGCAACUUCCACACAGCCCUGGACACGCUCACCAUGUUUGCGUCCAGGCUGUGCAGAGGCCAAAAUGGGAGGAGUUCCAGACGCAAGAAGGUGAAGCGUUACGCAUUUCCAUCUUGGCCUGCCCUCUGCCUUAUUUUCACUUGGGAGCCCAGGUGCCUCGUGGGGCACCGGGGGCUGCUGAGCGAGUGUCUC
RNAcentral lists this long non-coding RNA (413 nucleotides) under Gallus gallus (chicken). RNAcentral's name for it is "long non-coding RNA NONGGAT000994". The record is from RNAcentral. Lineage: Eukaryota; Metazoa; Chordata; Aves; Galliformes; Phasianidae.